This 198-nucleotide ribosomal RNA is filed under the name uncultured bacterium. RNAcentral's name for it is "partial 16S ribosomal RNA". It matches the Rfam family "Bacterial small subunit ribosomal RNA", at positions 1303 to 1500 of the family's 1533-position model. The record is from RNAcentral.
GGCUGCAACUCGCCUGCAUGAAGUCGGAAUUGCUAGUAAUCGUAGGUCAGCAUACUACGGUGAAUACGUUCCCGGGCCUUGUACACACCGCCCGUCAAACCAUGAGAGUUGGCAACACCCGAAGUCGGUAGUCUAACCGCAAGGAGGACGCCGCCGAAGGUGGGGUUGAUGAUUAGGGUUAAGUCGUAACAAGGUAGC